CGGGAGAGGAGCAUGCGCAGUGUUUACUGGAGUUGUGCGCAUGCUCGCUUGAGGCAUUUUUCUCUUACCAGCGCAAUGUCCCUAGGAGGUCAUGCACCGGUUAAACUCUGCUAUUAUGCCUCUUACUGGGCAUGCUCGAGCCCACGGGCCCAACUCCUGAGAUCCCAUCUGGAAGCUGCUGAUCACCAGUUUCAAGUGUUUCUGUUUAUUGGGAGACUGCCUUCCUCUGGCACUGGCAGUGACCAAUUAUUAUUUUAGAGAGAUUGUUAACUGCCUGCUCAUCACCUGAUGAAUAUCAGGAAUGUGGCCUGACAUUCCUGGUACACGGAGCGCCUUCUUUUCGUUUAGAGCAUUGGUGGCUCCACAUUAGAAGCAUCCUAUGUAGCUGUUCUGGCUGCAGCUGCCCAAGUCUGCCUGGGCCUCCUGCAUGAGGUCACGAGUCUUAAUAAAGCCACUGACCCACACAUUUGGAAUCGUACUGACUUUUCACAACUAACAGCCAACACAUUGCCAAGAAGCAAUUCAAUUGUUGAGGAUAUCACAUCAUGCCAGGGAAAGAGAGAUGGAAUUCAGAAAGCCUGGGAUAUUGCAGGUUUAUCCUGACAGUAACCUCUCCCCAGGUCGGAAGACCUCUCAGGCUCUGUUUCUAGGGAGGCUGACCUGCUGACAAUGCUCCUAGCUGGAUUUUGUAAGUGGUCUUGAAUAAAGUCUUCCUUACUGUUUUAACAAGAGACAGGGUAAUGUUCAUUGAAUAUCUUAUACAAAGAGGAAAUCUGGCACAGAAGUGGACACGCACUCGGAGGGAAAAUGCCAAGUGACAAUGAAGGCAGAGAUCAGGUGAUGCAUCUGCAAGCUGAGCAACAUCAGGAAUUGCCAAAAACCACCAGGAGCUGGAGAGGCCUGGGACAGAGCCUCCCAUGGAGCCUCAAGGGAGCCAGCCCUGCCCAUGGAGAGGCCUGGGACGGAGCCUCCCACGGAGCCUCAAGGGAGCCAGCCCUGCCCACGCCUUGAUCUUUGACGUCCGACCUCAAGAACUAUGAGAGAACCCAUUUCUGUUGGUGAAGACUCCCCGUCUGUGGUCCCCUAUCCUGGCAGCCCUGGGAAGCUGACCUCUGGUCCCUCUGCAUCCCUGGCAUCACUCUGCCUCCCCCUCUUUUUCUCCAGUGAAUCCGACACACUCUCAGUGAGACAGCCAGGUGGCAAGGGGUCCUCGGAGAAACUCCAGCCGGCCUGCUCACUGGGCAUGUACACUGGAGUAGAGCCACAGAAGUUCAUGGUGUUUGCAGCAGGGAGGAGCCUGGCCACUCCUCUUCCUGGUUGGAACCUGGGAUUUAUUUUGUGAGGCGGGAAGCCUAUACUGGGGAGACUCUUGUUCUGCUGAGUCACCAUUCCCCCUUUAUUUUCCUUUUUGCCCAAUAAAUCCUAUUAUUCUCAGUCUUCAAAUU
This 1445-nucleotide long non-coding RNA is filed under the name Pongo abelii (Sumatran orangutan). RNAcentral's name for it is "lincRNA". The record is from RNAcentral. Lineage: Eukaryota; Metazoa; Chordata; Mammalia; Primates; Hominidae.